CCGGACCAUUGUGAACGCCGGUAUUCAUAUAAUAAUGAGGGAUACUUCCACGAAAAUUCACCCUCUGGGAGACAGAGAGUUAACUCGGAGAUUUACGUACCUAGUGCACAUGAGCCUCAGCAUUACGAGGGCGUGGACGAGAAAACUCUGGCGCAUAAUUUACUAUCGAUACAACCAGUGGGAAGGUUCACCAUAGAGAGACCUAAGCUGAGACUUUAAAAGACGACUGACCAAUCGCCGUAAGUUGGACAUUGUGCAAGGAGUAAGUAACCUACCUAAGUGAAAGAUUCACGAAUACAUAG
Long non-coding RNA from Liolophura sinensis, 302 nucleotides. RefSeq lists it as uncharacterized. Lineage: Eukaryota; Metazoa; Mollusca; Polyplacophora; Chitonida; Chitonidae. The record is from RefSeq and is a predicted model, not a curated record. The transcript has 3 exons.